UUUUUUUUUUUUGUGCUUUGCUCUUUCAAUAGUCUGAAACUCUCUGAAGAGUCUGAAGCACAAGAAAAACGAAAGGAUCUUUUCUUUUAACAGCAGUGGCUGGCAGGUUGAUCAUGGCGGCCUUUGUUUUUACUUACUGCACGUGCCAAGUAGAAUCGCCGACGUGUCGUUUUGAUUACAGCGCUGGACGGUGGACUUCCUAAUGACGGAUAUGUCCUUGUUAUAUAUUAUUAUAUCCGUAUCAGUUUGUGAUCGCAUUAAAUUUCAAUUAUUAGUAUCUAAAUUUAAUUUAAAAAUUAUUUAAAUUUAGCAAGCCAAAAUAAAAAACUAAAAGUAAGGUAAAGCUAGCAAGCAAUUUUGGUAUCUGAGCUAAUUAUCUACGAUAAUAUAAUUUAGUCAAAUUAGAUAUUUGAUUAUGUGAAUCUGCGGGUUUUAAUAUUAUUCUCAUAUGUAAACUAUCAGGGAUAACCAUAAAUAUUUGACUCUGCAGUUUCCAUUAUUAUGAUGCAUGAGGGUUGGUUUUGUCAUUUUGAAAUUAUACGGUGACGUCAGCUGUUUUGGAAUUAUUCGGCUGAGUCACGUGUCGGCAAGAGCAGUUGUUUUAGAUUUGGAUAGUGUGGGGCCCAGAGUUUCGGGAACGUUCCUGAGUGGGACUUAUUUGUUUUGUCGCCUUCUGAAUCAAAGAGCGACACGUGGAAAUCUAGAGGCGUGUGGAGACACGUCGGACAGUGAGAUGGGAUUCCCCGUAAGCUUUUUUGUGGAUAACGUUUGCAAUUUGGAUUUUUCUUUUCCUGUUUUUUUUCUUUCUUUCAAGUAAAGAUAAAGAUGGAUUUGUCAUCUUUGACUUGACUCAAUAUCUUUCCACUGUAUAAAUAAGAAUAAUAUAUAAAACAUAUAUCGAUUUUGCCAACUAAUAUUUCAAAUUUACUUUUGUUGAAUAAAAUAUAAUUUUUAAGGCAAUUUUCAAGAUAAAGCUUUUUUUUUAUAUUUAUAGAAAUGAGUUAACUUUUUGAUUAUUUAUUGAAAUAGGCUAAAUUUUUUGAAGGCACGUCCACGUAGCACAAUGUCAAGUGACAUGUAAACAAAACGCAUCCUUAAGGAUUUAAUUAACCUAAAGUUAGGGAUUUUUAGUUUCAAUGUACUGAUUAUAUUUCCUUAGACUUAUUCUUUUAGUAUAAAUAGCUAUGUAAAUUUUUUGUUUUAUAAUUUAAGAAAAAAAAUUUCUAUUCUCAACAUAGAAUCUAAAUCUAUCAUACAUUAUUUAUUUAAACUUUUAUUUUCUAAUGAAUAUUUUGACAUAAUAGAUUCUAAUAUUUAACCAACAAAUAAUGUUAUUUAGUACAAUCUUCGAAUUCAUAUGUUAUAAAAAAAAAUGAGAACAUCCGACCCGCUCACUCAAUCACAUAACGUGAAUGCAGCAACUUCAUCAAACUUACAGCAACACAAGCAAAACAGAUGAUAAGAAACUAUGCUUGCAUGGAAGGGAUGAUUCACCCAAUGCUAAGACUUCGAUUGCAUGUAGUAUCAAAGUUGCUAUUGCUAAAAAGCAUUAUUUUGUGUUUGUAAAUUUAAUCAUAAGCAGCAAGGCUAUUUGUCCAAACCAUAUAAUAGCAACCUUCAUUCCAACAAACUUUUGGCUACUGGAAAUAUGGGAGCUAUAUCAACGGGAACCUGAGAAAUAGAUGGAAGCAAACAGAAUAUGAACAAAAAUGCUCAAAAUAGGCACUUUGAUCCAAUCUUUCUACCAUAAUUGUUUAUCAGAGGAUACAUUGGCAAGUUACUUAUAUUUCUACCGAAAAACAAAUCAUAUCAUGACAUCAUCGACCUUCAAAGUUUCUUACUUGUUCGGCAAAUGAGUUAUUUUACUUUAUUUUAUUUCAAUUGCCUAUAUGAACCUACAGAUAUACUGGCACCUAAGGCAAAUUUUGAUAUAUGAGACAUUAUAAGCCUAAAGCUAUUUUGCUCGGACUCAGAGGUGUCUAGCACAUACCUCUAUAUAUCCAUGUCCUAAAUAUGUAUCAGAGAAAAUAAAGAGUUGAAUGCAUAGCUAUGCCAAUUACAUAUUUUGGUUUACAUUUCAAAAGCUAAGCCCUCUUCAGGGUAUGAUGUGGGCAUGUAGAUUCUCUAGUCAUGCUGCUUCCUAUUUAUAAAUCUAGUGUGACAAUUGGGGAAGCAAGCAGGUCCUUGUAAGUAUUACUGUUUUAUACAUAAAUAUUCUUUAUUUUUAACACCGGUUGCUGCCAGAUUGGUAUAUCUCGAGGUUUCUCCUUCAUGUUCUUUUCAUUUUCCAUCUCUUAUACACUUGGGUUUAUGACUUUAUACCACUAGGAUGUAAGCUCAGUAGCAAUUUCAGUCAAGCACAUGUGCAUCUUAGAGCAAAUCUAUCCUACGUCUUGAAGUAUUUGACACUCGUGUCUGAGCACAUCCAAACAUAGGUACGAGAAUAUGAUCACACUCGUGUCUUGAACAAAAUUGAUCAUACCCGUGUUGGGCACAUCUAUCUAACAUUGACAUUCAAAUCCGAGAAUCUAUCCGUUUUUAUCCCAAAAAUACGAUAUAUAUUAAAUUUUGAAAUAAAUUAGUAGGCAAACCAAGUGCAAGUAUUUUAUCAAUAAAAGUAUACUUGAAUGUGGCAGGAGGACUUACAUGAAUGGAUUCCAACUUUUGCAAUGCAACUUUCAAUGGCUUUGUCAUGGUGCAGUAUUUCUGCAGAAGCAAACUAGCACCUUCUUUGUCACCCUUAGCUUGUAUGGUAAGUAUAGUCCUACUCAAACUUUCAACUGCUUCCUCAACCUUCCAAAAGAAAGCACUAUUUUAGGCGGAAAUGUUUUAACUAAAAAUAUUUAUGUAUGAGAAAAUCUGAAGGCGCUGUACCUUGUCAAAGUUGACAGAAAAUGUCUCAUUGGGAUGGAAAACAAAGGCUUCCUUUUCCAAUAACCAGUUAAAUUGUAAUGCUUGACCUUUUCUGAAAUUAUUCAGUAAAUCAAGAAUGGUCAGUAACAAUAAUUAAAAAUAUUAUGCCAGUGAACAGUUAAUGGUUCGCUUACCCAUGAGCUUCUAAGCCAAACCGAACUGAGCGAAAGCAUCCUGCAAGGAAUGAAACAUACAUGGACUUUUCCAGACUAGUCGGAAGUAAAUGCUGCUCAAAGAUGUCAAAACAAACAGAAAGAGCCUUAGUUUUUCAUAGUUCUUUUUAAUAUCAUUUGUCAUAAAUGCAAAAAGUGUUGACAUAAACAGGCAACUAAUGCACAACUUUUUAACUAAUUCAACAUGCAAUAUAGAUUACUUAAACCGUUAUCUCUUCCAGGUUCCUUUAUGAUAGUACAAGGUUCAAGGUAGAAGUUGAUUCCAAAUGUCCCUUACUGGGCAUUUGAGACUAAAGCUUGAUUGAGAACAAACGUUCCAAAUAGAUAAUGAAUAGCACUACAUUACUAAAAAUUGGAUGCAAAAGAUUAGUCAGUGGUGGGACUAGCAAGGUAUUACAUUUGAAAACCAGCGAUCUGCACAAACUCCUUUCUAUCCAAACUCUUGCCCUCUUCAAGAUUUUCUCAUUAGAGGUAUUACUUGAAAGCCAUUCAUUUCAAGGAAAUAAUAUUAAAGAGUUUCAGAGAAAGGAAACUAUACUCAACAGCCAUCAGACAGAAUAUACUCACCAAAAAGAUCACAUCUAAUCGAAUUUAUGAUAAUUUUUUUAAAGUUCUGUUCUUACACAAACUAGACACAUGCUGAUGGGAUGUUGAAGUUCAAAAAUGUCGCAGUGGCUGAAAAAUUAAAAAAGAAUAGCCAGCCAACUACUUUAUCGUCAGUUGGUAGAGUGAUGAACACUUAGUCUCUUAAUCCUAGUGAACCGGGUUCAAUCCAGGCAAUCUUAAGUACCAAUAAACAAAAUAAUGAAAAAAAAUCCAUAAGUAACCCUCAGAGCGAUGUGUAAACAUUCUUUCAACUUUGCAUGUCAAUUUUUGGAAGGGGCAGGAAAGCAGUUAUCCAAUUGGAUACUUAGAUUUGAUACAUUGCAGCAAUUAAAUCAUUAUGCAGGUGUAAAGAAAUUGAACCAAAAACCUUACUUUCGAAAAGUACUUUUGGGCUGACAUGGGAUACAAAUUUUCAUAUUCCAAUGAAUGGUCACACUCAAAAAAAAAUGUCAAGCCAGUCUUACUCAAAGCAACUAUUUCAAUACGAAAGAACUUUUUGGCUGACUUCCAAGAAACCUCAAAACACUCCUUAAAUGACUGCACAAAUUUCUAAACUCCACAAUCUAUGGCCUCUACUCUCAAGCUUAGCAUCUCACCUUGAGUUGACUUAAAACACUCUUUCUAGAAUGGGGUUAGAAUCUAGGUAGAAUAUUUUUCUUGAUGUCAUUUUUGGUUGUGGUUGUGGUUGUGGUUGGAAGUUGUAAGCAGUCUAUUCUUAAAAGUAGCAGCAGAACUUUGAGAAGUUGAAAAUACUAGUAAAAUGCAGAAAAGGAACUAAAGUUGCUAUCCCAAAGAUAAAGCAUUUGAAAAAAAUAAAUAAAUAAUUGCGAACUGCAUCAGCUAACAUGUAUGGGUCUUCUAAUCUUGAUAGUCACAAGUAAUUAUAUCAUAUAAAGGAAAAUAAUAAAACUUGGCUUUUUUACCAACCUUUUUUAUUAGAAAGUUCAGUGCCCAAAGACCCACUAUGUCUGCUUUUGCUUCUUCCAAAGCCGAGUGUAAAUCUUGAAGCUCCUGUAAGAAACAGUAAAAGAAAAACCAUGGGAUACCAUAAAUAAUUAGAAUAAAUCACUUCUUUUAAGGAAAAUAGUAACUUCAGGAAACACCAUCCAACUUCAAAGAACAAUGUCAAUAUACAGAUUAAUGCAGAUAGGAGGUGCUCUUCCAUCGUAAAUAUUCAAUGCCUGUAUGUUGUGAUUAUAUUACUUCCUUUAUCUUUCUUUUACCCCUUUGUCUGAAAUCACACAAACCUCUACCUUCUGUUCUAUUUAAGCAACUGUUUCUCGCUCAAAAAUAUCACAUGAAGAUGCCCAAGGUAAGUAGUCAUUAUUCAUGUUUAGAAAAACAAAACUUCAGUCAUAAACAAAGCUUAUUUCUUUUCUAACCAUUUUCAUCACAAUGGCAUGUAGAAUAAAUGGAUAAACCAGCAUGAGUGAGCUGGACAGUUGAUAUUUAAUUAUAAUUGGACAGAUAUGAUUAAAUACUAGAUUUUUUUUCUUCUCCUCUAGACAAACACAUUCUAAAAACAGCUAAAUAAAACAGAAAUAAAAAGGAAACAUUAUAACUGACCAAUCUAACAGUAGACUUUCGGCCAUCAGGAAGGGUUAUGGUAUGAGGCCCAAUCCCAUGGCAGCACUCAUGGCAGAUUGUGUGAGUGAAGAAAGACUCAAAAUCUACAAGUUCGUGUUGUUCCUUUGCAAUACAUGCAUCAGCUAUGGGAUUAAGAAUCUGUUUGAACCUUAUUAGGAUGGAAAUAUCAAACAAUGAUUUAGAAUUAUGGUAAAUAUAAGCCACAACGUAUUGGUAAAUUGGACCAACUUCAACAAUGAUUGAAGAAAGUUUCGCACUUUGCUUCAGAAACAUUCUUAAGUAUAACCAUUGCUGUUCCUCGAUCUUUAACUAUACGCUCAUCAUUUGGUAGAUUGAAAGCAAUAGUCUGAGGGCCCUUCACAUCCUGAUAUAAAUACAAAUAUGUUAAAACGCAUAUCUAUCCAAGAUAAAUUAUUACAUACAUAAGAAUGGAAGCUCUAGAAAAAUUUGAAACUAAUUAAGAACAAAAAAUACAAACAUGUGGUUUUCCAUACUGUACAUUCCAAUCUAUGGAAUGAAAAAAUAAUUUAAAUACAAUAGCAACUCUGCAGCCAUAAUUAAUUGAUAACACUAGCAGGCAACAGCCACAAUUCCUUUUCUACUUUGUCCAAAAAAGUGAAUUCAAGGAGCAAGAGUAGCUUGUUGAGUUUCAUUCUUUCCAUCCCCAUUCCUAGAAUCCACUAUUGAUAAAAGUGGUUAGACAUACACACACAAGUAUGUCUAACCACAUUUGAUAUUUCAUUCAAUCUCUUAUUGUAUUUGCGUCUUAGCAUUUAUCAUGUACAUUGAGUAAAUAUACAAAGGAAAAUUCAAGAUUAAAGGGGAUGGGGAAGGAUUAGCAUCUAAACCAUGAACACACUGAAGAAAAUAUUCAUACAUUUUGCAGCCCUCAAAACUUCAGUUACAAAAUGCAAGCAUACAAACAUUUGCAUGCAUCUGUGUAAACAUAUGCAUCACUGCCGACAAACCAAUCUGAUUAUCAUGAAAGACUUUUCUCAAUGAACCCAAAACUUACCCCUGCAUUAAAAAGAAGCUGGACAACACGAAUUGGAGCAGCAAUGAUAUCUUUUGAUUUAUAUGUAUCGUCCAUAGGAAGGUUUUGUUCCAAAACCUAAAAUAUUAAAUAUUUUGUUAGAAACAAGCAAGCGACCAGAAGAAAUGUCUGAGAAAAUUUGAUAUGAAUGAAUUACCUGCAAGUUAUCACCAAACAAUUUAAGUUGAGCAGUUGCUUUUUCAUCCCGAACUCCAAUAAAUGCUUCGAACGUAGCCUAUGCAAAUCCGUGCAUCUAAUUAGCUAUACUAGCAUCCAAAGAGAUUCAUAUAUUGCAACAAUAAAAUUACAACAGGUUACAAACUGAUUUCAUCCUUUAUUACGUGAACAUGGACAUAAGCAUGGAUGCAUGCAAGAGUACGUGAAAGCAAUCAGACACUAAAUCAAUCAUUAGUUGAUAGAGUGAGUCAAAUAAAUAAAUCUAAAUAAAGGACAGAAAAAGGAAGGACAAUUGAAGGGAAUAAAAUUAAAAACGCAAAAGAAAAAGCAACAAAGCAUAUAAUAAAAUAAGUCAAACAAAAAGCAGCACAAGUGCAUAGUAGACAUUUGCAUAUAAGUGGAAUGGUACAAGUUUGUGGAGCACAAGCACAGGACUACAAGAAAGUUGUCCUUGGGUUUUCAAUCAGGGGAAAGCAUCAACAUAAAGACCUCAUAGUGCAGACGGGUUCCAAGGUCCUUUGUGGAUUAUGCAUCAUGAUUGACAGAAUCUCUCAUUUUUAUUUUCUUUGACAGUCAUUAUUCAAGAGCAGUUUGGAAGAUUACACUGACUAAUGCAGUAUUCAGGUAGUAUUGUUAGUUGGAACGAAGAGAAAAGUUUAAAAAUAGCAAGAUAUAUAUGGGAGGUUCCUGGGAGAUCCAUGAUUAAAGUUUCUCGGCUGUUACACUUAUCAGGUUUUUGGCGGAAAUAAUUAGCAGAAUCUAUAAAAAUAGCAGUCAUCCAACCUCAGGGUGCAGUGUUAAAAUGGACAACCCAAGAAAUGCUACUUUCUUUAAGAAGUGAUACAUUAGUGUUUGUAAUUGUUGUUCGAUUCUGUUUUUUCUCUUGUUUUUCAAGUAGGAACCAAGCAAAAAGUCCCUCUGCAAUAGGUUGUACAAUUUUUAGUUCAAAUAAAAUAGUUCUAUAAAGUAGCAAUUUGAUACAAACACCAAGAAACUACCCAUUUGUCAUAUCGAAAUAAAAUAGAUUAAUCUAAAAUUUAAAGUUUAAACACUCUAAGCUUUAGUCAUAAAGGGGGUGAAUUGGGCCGUGUGUAGAAGUGGGCAUCUUUGGUUCUAGUUCCCAGUAGGCGACCCUCUAUUAAAGGAGUAGAGGCUCUUCCCUGGCCAUUUGUAUUAUUUUACCGUCUUAUAAUUCAAUGAAGAAAAGGUGAAACUCCAUACUUUAAGCUUUUACAUUUUCCACUGGUUUUCAAUCAGAUUUCCCACUCUUCAUUUUACUACCAAACUACAGUAGAUAGUUUUUGACCUUUGGUAAAACUUUCAAAGCAAACAGAUAUGCUAGCAAAACUACUAACAAAAAUGCUAAUAGAUAAAUAACAUCAUGAAUUCAGGCUACAAUAGGAAACAUUGACCUCUUCAAUCAUGCUUUACUCAUCAUAUUAAGCAAUGUUAAAAGCUGCUCACUGUCAACAAGAAUUUGUUUUUCUAUACAAAUUUUAAGGAAUCGAAACCCAUAAUUCUUAAUGGAAAUGCAGAUCAUGCUGCUUAGUAUUUAAUUUGUAAUGGUCAAUUUAUUUAUUUUGAGUUUCUUUUAAGAACAAAUGGUAGGCUUGGACUAUGGAGUUGGUCUCUAUAAAAUAAAUAAUGGCCUUUACUUUAGGAAGGAUUACACUAUGCUAUGGAGACAAAAUUAUCUACAAGUCAGAUUUACUUCACUUUCUUGUUUCUUUUCUUUUUUCUUUUUUUUUUCUUUUUUUGUUCUCUAAAUCAACUGCAAGCCAGUUUUCCAUUAAAUUUUUUGGAAGGAAAAGUAACUUUUGCUAGCAAGUGAGAACAUAUUUAAGAAAACAAAAGGGCUAGCUAAAUUGACUUGCAGAAAUCUCAAUUGAAUCCCAGUACUCAGAAUUUAGUUUAACUUAAAGAGAAAAAGAUAAAAAGAAAGGAGUAACCUUUUCAAAACACAACAUAGUACAUUCUUCAGUAAGGUAUUAAAAGCUGUCUCAAUAAGUAAAAACUCAAUAAGAAACAAAGCUAGCACAUAGAAACUAAAGAGAUAUGAGUACCUAAUCAGACCUCAUACAUUAUGUUGGCAUAAAUGCAUCAUAGUAUUGUAUCAAUCAUCUGUAUCAUUUAGAAAGAAAACAUACUGAAAUAGGUUUCUUCUGAUCCAAACUUAAGCAAAUAGCAAUCGAGUAAUUUGCAAGAAUGGAAGGUAUUGCUAAAAUUUUACAUUUUUAGCACAAUUCAUUUGCUUUUACACAAAUUUGAACCUUUCAAGCACCACUAUGUUACCAAUGCUAUAAUAUUUGUUACCCAAAGUCUAUUUGAACCUUUCAAGCACCACUAUGUUACCAAUGCUAUAAUAUUUGUUACCCAAAGUCUAAAUUAGACAUUUCAAGUUUGAGAAAAGCAUGUUUUCAUGCUACCUCUAUAAAAGAAAGUGAUACAUUGUAAAUAUUUCUAAAUAUUCACGAGGCAUUCUUACUUAAGUGAUACAUUGUAAAUAUUUCUAAAUAUUCACGAGGCAUUCUUACUUAGAUCAAGUUCAUUACCGUCUAAAUCUAAUGCUGAAUAAAAAGGACUGAAGUAAAGGAAAUAAACAUGCAUUUGAUAUGUGAAUAUAUUACCUUGUACCCAAACAGUGAAUCUUCAUAAGUUUCAUAUGGACCAAUGGUGACAUCCAACUUAGAAUCCUAAAGCAGGAAAUUCAAACAGGGAGAGAGUGAAGGCCCAGUGAGUUCAUUAGAAUAGGAAUUGAAUUGAAUACCAAAUUAAGCAUAUUGACAUCAAAACAAGAUGUUACUAAUAUUUUUAAAAUCAAAACAGAAAAAGAAAUGGUUGAAAAGCAGAGGAAAAAAAAAAGUUGCAGAUCUAUUAUCAUGAAUAUCCUUUUAAAUUAUACCAUAAUAAAUGUGAUCUUACAAUUUAUUCAUAAAUAAAAAUGAGAAAGUGCAUGAUAAGGGGAAAGAAAAAGAAUCAAAAUUUAGCAACAACUAACCAAUUCCAUCCAGGCUAUAUCAGAGUCGUAGUAGUCGUUUGAAAGGAAGGCAUCAGCCUUGCUAUGGAGCAACCUCUUCAAACUAUAAAGUUGAACGACUCAAGAGAUAUUAGUUGAUGGUAUAAGAUUUCAGAGUAGGAAUAAUAAACAAGACAUCAGAAGAAAAAACUGUCAUACUCAUACCUAGGAGAGCUGACAAGGUCCCCAGCUUUAUGCAACAGAUCCGAAACUCUUGCCAGGAAAGAAUGAUACUCUUGGGAGUACAGAAUGCUAUAAAGAUCAUAAGUAGACCCUUCUGAAAGAUGUGUGCUAUCAAAGAUAUGAUUGUCCCAACUUACUUGACUGUGCCUUUUAAUGACAGUGAAAAAACUCAUUGCAUCCUUUUGCUGGUCCAAGCUUAGACCUGUACUCCAUAAUUUAAAUUCCUAGAACAAAAAUGAAACUCGUCAGUCUCUAUCCCGUUUUCAAAAUAAUGCUAAAAGAUGGCUAAACUGGAAAUUUUAUAGUAUAGCCACAUGUAUAAUGAAAAACCAUUCUUUGCAGCACAUGAAGAAAUUCCUGUGUUACCAUUUUGUCCAUGUCAGGAGGGUAGAAGUUUGCACCAGAAGGUUUUAGCAUUGGAAAUGCUGCUCUGUAUUGUACACCUUUCCACCCAGUAAUAGGCUUUGUGGCUUCAGGAAGAAGCUUUACUGCUGAAUCUGCAGUUGUUAAAAAUGCCUCGUUUUCAUCAAGGCAGGACCUGUUGAUAAAGAAUGAAUUAUUAAUGAUAAAAAGACAUUCCCGCCAAAGAACAAAGCAGAAGGAAUUACCAUGGACUCUUAUUAAUCACAUAAUACAUCCAUUUCAGGUUGUCCAAUUGAGACACAUUGGCAUGCUCUUUUAACCAUUCUCUUAAAACUGGGUUGCUGUGCCAAACCUGAUUAUUUAAGGUGAAAAAGAACAAAGGAAAAUAUGAGAAUCUGAAGCCAUGUCAUCACAAUUAAGCAUUUACAUUAAGAUUGCAAUUAAAAUUAAGAAUGCGUUUACAACUAAGAUUGCAAAAUUUUGCACCAUAUCAAUACUUUUCCUUCCAAGCAACAAACGUUUUAGGUGCCUUAAAACAAUAAAAAUUAUGUAAAACUAGAAAAAGCAAUUCACAAAACCAUAAUUUUUGCAUAUCUAGACUGGGAAACAAUAUUUCAGAGUGUUAAGAUAUGUAAAUAAAAUAAUACUGCUGAUUAUUAGGGAUUAUAGCAAGAUAUUAGAAAUUUGAUUUUAUAUACUUUCUUAUAGAGUAGACUCAUACUUGUAUAUGUGUAUUGUAUGAUGAUGAAUGAUAUAUAUAAUUUCAUUCUCUCUUUCUCCUUGUGUCUCCUUAAUUAUUCUUUCAGUAUUUCGUUCAUGAUAUUAGAUCCUCUUGGCUCAAUUUAGGGAGUUCGUGUUUCGUUGUUUUGAACACAAACCAUUUGAGUAUUUUGUGAGUUAGCUUUUCAAGUUUUUUUGGGUACACUGUCGGCACAGGGAGGAGCACCACCAUCUCGACAGUUGCAACCGGAGGAUAAGCACGUGAGGCUCCCGCACCGCCUAAAGAUUUGCGACCCUACUUUACGCGUCGGUGCACGGUCAUCUCACCAACGGUUUCCACCCUUGAUGUUGACUCCUUUGUCCAACCCUAGCCCAGUGGUCAGUUGCUUGAUCCAGGAGGAUUUGUAGGUCAAUUUUUUUUAUGUUCUUUUUAGGUUUCGCAUUGUUUCAAUCACUGUUAGUUUUUUGGUUCUGUUUUAAAGCUGUUUUCUUGCAGCUAUUUGGCUCGAUUUGGGUUCUUUUCUGGCCAAUUUUUUUCUCACCACCCCCUUCAACAGAGUUGUAGUCCAAUCCCCGGGGAAACUUAAAAAUCCAGUGACCAAACUCCCUGCGUGUGGCCUUCACGCGCCACCCAUACCGUCCGCAUCCUUGCCCAUGCGCCGGCACAUUCAACUCACCUACGUCAAAUUUGAUUCUCCGACGACCACCGUUGGUUUUGUUGUUGUUAUCUCGCAUGGUCACGAUCGUGCUUAAUGUUUAUCAAAGCUAGAGGACUGCAGAGGUAUAUUACUGGUGAUUCGAAAAAACCCAUUGUAAAUGAUUCCACUUAUGAUCAGUGGGACUCUGAUAACUCUCUUGUUAUGUCUUGGCUUAUCAACUCUAUGCAACCCCGGAUUUCCAGAACAUACUUGCUACUUGACUCUACAGAAAAAAUAUGGAUGCUUAGAUUUUUGAAAUUCCCAAUAAAGUCACAACACUAAGCUAGGUGAGAUCACUGAGAUGUCAUUUUCUCAGUAUUUUUCUAAACUGAGUGGUUUAUGGCAAGAGCCCAAGCCCUUCUUUUACAAAUGUGUGUACCUAAAUGAUUUUGAGAUGAUGCCAUUUUAACAGCCACAUUUCUUAUUAAUUGUAUGACAUCUAUUCUUAACAAUAACAUUCCUUACCAUACCCUCUUUCCUUCAAAACUUUUGUUCUUUAUUGAGCCCAAAAUAUUUGGUAGCACUUGCUUUGUUCAUGAUGUUCAUCCAUAAGUCAUAAAAUUGGACCCAAAGUCGCUCAAAUGUGUUUCUUAGUUAUUGUCAACUUAAAAUGGGUUAUAAAUGGUACUCUUUGGAUCUUAAGAGACAUCUUGUGUCUAUUGAUGUUACCUUUUUUGAGCAUACACCGUUUUUUCCUAUGUCGUCCAUUUGUAAAUACUUCCUCCGAAAAUGAUGAUUUGUCAUUAUAUACUAUGAAUCGUCUAGUCAACUACUCUCAAAUAGGUAUGCUAGAACACAUAACAACUCGACCACCAAUCAUUCAUGUUUAUUCAAGUCGGUAAAAUCCUCCGGACACAUGUCCGCCUCUAGUCUAUUAGUCGAAAAAUUUGACCCCUAGUCAAUCUGAUUCUAGUAUCGACCUUCCCAUUGUCCUAUGUAAAGGUAAACGACAGUGUACUUAUCCUAUCUCCUUUUUUGUCUCUUAUGAUCAAUUAUCCCCUAUGACUAGCUUUUUCAUUCCUUCAUUACACUAUUUCUAUUCCUAAAACUGUAAGGGAGGCCUUAGCUCAUCCGGGCUGGUGAGAUGCAAUGAUAGAGAUGAUUGCUUUAAAUGGUAAUGGUACUUGGGAAUUGGUUAAUUUGCCGACUGAAAAGAAGGCUAUUGAAUGUAAAUGUGUUUACAGUCCAAGUUAAUCUUAAUGGUUUCGUUGCCCAAUUAAAAGUCUGUCUUGUUGGUAAAGGAUAUCCUCAAACCUAUAGAGUUGGUUACUCGGAUACUUUCUCUCCAGUGGCUAAGAUGGCUUAUGUUCGUUUGUUCAUUUCUAUAGCGGCAACAUAUGGGUGAUCCCUGCAUCAACUUGAUAUAAAAAAUGCCAUUCUGCAUAGUGAUCUACAGGAGGAUGUCUAUAUGGAGCACCCAUCUGGUUUUGUUGUUCAGGGGGAGAGUGCGAAGUUGUGUCAUCUUCAGAAAUCUCUAUAUGAUUUGAAACAGAACCUAUGAGCAUGGUUUGGACGAUUCUGUAAGGUGAUCCACUUGGAGGUAGGCAUGAUUCUCUUAGUAGUUUAUGUUGAUGAUAUUGUUAUUACUGAAAGUGAUGAUACAAAUAUUCUUGCUUUGAAAUCAUACCUUCAUACUCAGUUUCAAAUGAAGGAUUUGGGACAAUUGAAAUAUUUUCUUGGCAUUGAAGUUACUAGGAGUAAGAAGGGUAUUUUCUUGUCUCAGAGGAAAUAUACCCUUGACUUACUUGAAGAAACUAGAAAGUCGGGAUGUAAACCAUGUAGCACACUGAUGGAUUCCAAUUUGCAACUUAUGAAGGAAGAUAGUGAUUCGCUUGAGGAUCAUGAGAGGUAUAAGAGACUAGUUGGGAAACUGAAUUAUCUCUCAAUGGCUCAUUCUGAUAUCGCAUAUUUUGUGAGUGUUGUAAGGCAAUUCAUAUCUUCACCAACAGUUAGACAUUGGGUGACACUGGAACAAAUCUUAUUUUACCUAAAGGGAGCUCUAGGCUGUGGGCUUCUAUAUUAGAAUUGUGGUCACAUAGGCAUUGAAUACUUCACUAAUGCAAAUUGGGGAGGAUCAAGUAUCUAAUUCCUAGGAAAAGCAAGAGUUAUGGCACAAUCUGUGUGAGAAUUAUGUGGUUACAACUUACAACAGUUACUGGAUGAACUAGGAUUUAAAAAGUCGUCACCAGCAAAAUUGUGGUGUGAAAAUCAAGCUGCUCUUCAUAUAUCCUCCAAUCCAGUAUUUCAUGAGCGAACCAAGCAUAUUGAAGUCAACUGUCACUUCAUUCGUGAGAAGAUCCAACAAAAGCUCAUAUCAACAGAUUAUGUCAGAACAAGAGAUCAAUUAGGAGAUAUCUUUUCGAAAUCUCUUAGUGGACCUCGAAUUGAUUAUAUUUGUAACAAGCUAGGCAUGAUUAACAUCUCUGCUCUAGCUUGAGGGGAAAUGUUAAGAUAUGUACAUAGAAUAAUAUAGUUGAUUAUUGUGGAUUAUGGCAUGAUAUUAGAGAUUUGAUUUUAUUUACUUUCCUUACAGAGUAAACCCAUACUUGUAUAUUUAUGAAUUGUUACAUGAUGAAUGAUAUAUAGAGUACCACUCUCUCUUUCUCCUUGUGCCUCGUUAAUUAUUCUUUCACUAUUUGGUUCACCUAGAAACAAGGUUACAUUAGUAAAUUGUGUUAGUUCAGAAAAAUUAAGUAUUGAAUUUUUAUUGUAAAAGUUGCUUGCUUUUUUGCUGCAAAUUAAAUAUUGAUUAGAUUUUUUUUUGGAUAUGUUAUUGAGUAUUUUACAUAAAGAAAACUAAAAAGUAAAAGUAAAAAGCUAAAAAGGACAGAAUGGUUCAUAUAAUUAAAUGAUAAAAUUUUCCUUUAUGAGAAUGAUUUAAUUCAUUCAGUAAAUUUCUUCAUAUUUUCAACACUUCUCUCCACUGGAAUUCCAUUUAAAUGGUUUCUGAAAUAAGUUAUCAAACACAUUGAAAACAUCAGAUCAUUGAAACUUUUCACUAUCAAUGGUUUAUUUUGCACACCCUUAGUUUGCAUUUUGCAACCAGCUCAAAAUCCUAUAGUGAUAAUGAACACAUAUAUUUUGAAUUGCAUCCUAAAUACGUGUAUCAAAAUAUUUCUGCAAGUAACUAGAUGAUGCCUUUUUAUCUAAAAUUUAUUCAAGGUAGUACCAUUAGUGAAAGAAAGAUUCUACUAUACCAAUCUGGAAAUAUAAGUUGUUAUCCUUUGCAAUUACUUUCUGGGGUAUGAUAGACUUAUGCCUUCAUGUUCCUUAUAUCAUACCAAUGUCUCUACUACUUUCCUGUAAUAUUACCUGACAUAUUGAAUGCUCCUAUACCAUCACUUGACUCAUUGAACUGAAAACAACUUUUCCCAGGAGAAGCAAGAAGUGAAUUAUAUAUUUCAAAGACUACUGCAUAAGUGUUAUGAGUGAACUAAUCAAAAUCACCUAUAUUAUAAUGCAACACUAGCAAAGCUUUGUUAUUAUGAACCCAUCUGUUUGCUAACUAGGACAACAGUCAAAAAAUUGACUAAUCUUUAACAGCUUUCAACAUAUAUAUAUAUAAUAAGCAGAAGUUCUAUUGCAUUUGGAGUGUUGUUCGUGAAUAUUUUGCACUAGAUCAUCUACUCAGUGGCACAAAAUUUUCCUUUGGUUCAUGCAAAAAGAAACCAACUGUUCUAUUCUUACUACUGACUUAUAUAGACAUGCUACAAUACCAGAGCAGAUGUUUGAGCAAAUCUGUGUACUUGUGUGUGAGAUUUUUUGUCUACUUAUAUGCAUAAAUACAACCUGCAGAUAAAAGAUUUCAUCCAUAAUCAUUGCAGCCCUAACCAGUAAUAUCAGAGCCUCCUUGUCAGCAUCACCAAGCCCUGUUAACUGCAAUGAGGGAAUAGAUUUAGUAAAUAAUUCAACACGUACAUCAAGAAGGUCUGACUGUUAUAUUUAGGAGAGGGAAAAAUUACAAACACAAUAUUUGAAUGAAACAAUGGAAAUUGGCCACAAGGGUGGCUGUAGCAUGCAGAUAACUUACUCCUUUAUAAUUAUAAGCUUCAAUAUGUAUUCAGCUUUUCACAGGAUUACUUUUAAAGCAGAAAAGAAAGCAAUGGACCUUUUAUAAACUUAAAAGUGAUAGAAAGACCAUCCACCUGUAAACUAACAAAUUAAUGAACGUGAAACCAAAAGUGUCCAUAGGAUACAACACAACGCAUUCUGCUCAUAUCACACAAUGUCUACAUGCAAAUUGACUACAUAAAGCUUGAGGAUAAAAAUAUUGAGAUGGAUUGGAAAUAUAACAACCAAUAAAAGCAGGGUAGCUGGUAUUAAAAUUGCAGAAAGUUGACAACCUCUGCAGUGAGAGAAACAGGAGCAUAUCGACGAAGUUGCUUUUGUAGUACUAGACUGCGUGCUUCAUUGUUCUCUUUGUACCUUUAGCAAGUAUUUGAAUUGUUAACCACAACAUGAAAUGUCAACAUGAAUAUAACAUUUAGAUGAAUUUGACAAUUAUUUUAUUCAACAACAUGGUCGUAGUUACUCAGCUUACCUUUUUGUAAUUAUAUCAAAGAGAAGACCAUAUUGUUUAUUUACAUCAUAAGGAACAUAUUUAGGAUCUGCUUCAGCUAGGUGACUUCUAUAUUCCCCAAAAGAAAUGUAUUUUACAUCAGAGACUUCGGUAUCCUAUCAUAAAAAAAAAAAAGCUAACAAAAACAUUCACAUUUUCAGGUAGUUUUAUAGCAGGACAAAUCACUUAUCAGUAUUCAUUGUUUACCAUUCACCAUUCACAUUUUCAAAGCAUGACUUUCAUAUAUAAUUGUAAAGAAAAUGUAUAAUGAAUUAUUCAUUAAGCACCAGGCACCAUCAACAGCCUUAAAUUCUGAGAUUAAAACCAACUUAAAAGGAGGACAAUCAUGGUAAAGAUCGAAGUUUAGAAGGAUGAAUCUCAUCCAUAGAAUGAAGACCAGAGAGCUAUAUUGAUAUACUUCAGAAUAGGGAUUCUGCAGCAAAUCCAUGCAAGCCUAUUAGGUUCUAAAACAAACCAUAAAAAUGGAUUUUCUAACAAAUAAAUGCAAUCAAACAUUAUAGACUUUUAGGCUUCUCAUUUGUCUUUGUGCAAGAUGUUUCUCUUUCAAAAAAAAAAAUAACCCUUAAAAGAGGCACCAAAAGUUAAAUUGCACUUACGCUUUGGCAGUCCAAUAUGUUUUGGAAAGUUUUAGAGAGAGCGUUGUUCAGCUUGUUUCCAUAAAUUCAUAACUGACAAUGGCAUUUUUCUUUCAGUGCUCGCUUUAGUUCAGAAAGGGAACUUCCAAUCAAAUAAGAGUAAAAAAAUUACAACAUGAAAACAGACUGAAAUACAACCAAGAGUGGAAGGGCUUAAGAUCUAGAGUUGAAUUCCACUUGUUCAUUCAGUACAAGCAAUGUUUAAACUUGAGAUGAUAAAGCAUACCUACAACAGAUGUUUCACUGUAGUCAACUUUGUCACUACUGUAGAAAGGUUUGGAAUAUCAAGAAAAUUAAUCCAUACUCCACCAGAAAACCAUUAGAAAACAAAAUCCAUGAAAUUUUGAAUGAUAAUUCCGACUGUUAUUAACUAUUGUUCAUCUCAACAAUUUUCGGACAAUGAAAGUACUUUGAUAUGGAAAACAAAUACAGAAUUUUGCAUAUUAUAUAUAAUCAAAUAACAUUGAAUGGGUUGAAAUUUUCAACUGAGAGUAAUUAUUAACUUCAUUACCUGAAGCGUAAAGGCUUCUCGAGGAAUUGGCUCUAGAGUUGUUACUAGGUAUACAUCGCUGUAUUCAUUAUUGAUGAAUUUUCCAUUGUUUGUGACACUGCAAUCAAAUGUAAACAGCAUAUGUUAAGUCAAAAUGGAACUAAAAGCAUCACAAAACCACUUAAGCAUCUCAACAAUAUUGGGAUUCAUCAAUUAAACAAAAAUUCCAAGAAACUAAACAUGGAAUAAUAAUAGUAAUAAUGAUAAAUUGAAAGUGAUGCAGGACCUAGGUGAAAUCUUAAUGUCUAGAUGGUCUUAUCAUUGCAUAAGAUUGAUGCAGCUUACCUCAGAAAAACAAUAAAUCAAAGCACUCUUCUCUAAGAAAAAGGAAGACAAUACAACUAUGAACUUACAAUGAAAAAUAUAACACCAUUUUUCAGAGUAAAUUUAUGCCAAAUGCUAAUUGUAUAUUGAAAAUAUUGAACCCUGAUGAACACAAAACAGACUUGAAUUUAGUAAGACAGCAUUAACAUCAGAAAUUAAUGCACCAAUGGUUCUAGCAAAGCAACAAAACCAGAGAAAAUGUUGCCAAAAUCACCAAAAAAGCAUCAUAGUCAUCUGAUCAGCUGCACCAAUUACAUUCCAAGAAGAGAGAAAAUUACACCAAAACAAAAAGAUGAUUUUAUCAACUAACCACUCUUCAAGAAAAACAAAUAUCAACUCAAAUGCAUCCUUUGGGAGGAUCACCCCUAGUUCUUCUUGAAGCUCCCUCCUGAACAAGUAAGAUAUUUAGUAAGCAUUGUGUUUUAGCACUAGAUCAACCAAAAAGGGAUAAAUUUCUAACAAUAAUAUGUUCACCAAGUAAUAGACGAUGGAAAAAAUGGGCCAACAAGGUAAAAAGAAAAUCAAUGCAUGCUGAUCUCCAAAGAAUUUCUUGUGUUGAAAGUUACUACAAAGGAAUGGACAAUAAGAUAUUUAAAUAAAGAAAGAAAAGAGAAAAAAAAAAAAAAAAGACUCAGAUGUCUUCACUCCUCCCUAACAAAAAGGUUUCUUGGCCAUCUAGAAACCACUAGGUUUACCAUCAGUUAGGAAACUAUCAAUUAGAUAUUUAAAAGAAAUGUAUUAACCAAAUCUAGCAAGUAUAUAAAACAACAGAAAGUAGCAAUGAUAAACAAGAACAUGGGGAGAAUAUCUGUGCACGGCACACAUAGAAAGAUUAAAGACCGAGCAGUUUUUCAAACGCCCUAUGAAAGAAGCAGCACUGAAGACUUGUGAAAUUGGAUUCACUUACUGUGCUGUUAUUAGUGAUGAAUCACCAGCAGAUAUAUGGCCAGCGCUGGAGAUAUCCCACAACCCCGGCCAAGAGUCCUUGCAGUCUGCACGUUUUUGGAGAAGUAAUUCUUGUGUACUCUCAGCAAAAAUCCAAACAUGGACUGCUUUAUGGUAAUCCCCAUCUCGAUGGACAUCUCCCCUGCAAAGAGAUCACAAUAAGUUACAUAUCAAGAAACUACCAUUAUAGAGAAAUGCCAGUACAGAAAUCAUAAGCAACCUCUAACACACAAUAAUACUCAAAAUGAAAUAUUUUAUAUCAAAUGUAUGCCUCCCUAGCUCUAGCUUGCAAGUUUUCAAUUCCCAGUUCCAAUUUCAAGGACCAUAAGCAACCUCCCCCCACCAACCACACACACACUUGAAAACUUUCAGUUCUAUAAUCCAGAUUGAGUACCAAAAAAAUUAGGGGUUCAUUGAAAGGAAUUACAAACCAAAUCAACAAAUUAAGCUAUUACUACCAUUUUCAAGGAACCAGCUUAACUAAUCUCAAAGGUUCUAACAAACCCAAUUUACAGAAGCUGCAAAUAAUAAGUAUAGCGUAAAUUAAGUUGUCCUAUUAUUUUCCAAUUUGAUAACUGCAAAAACAUGAUUUCUGCUAAGAGUAAGCAACAGACAGUAUAGAAAAUAAAUAAAAGACCCGCUUGUAAAGUAAUCCAUUAUGUUCAAAGAUCAAAAACAGAUAAUUCAGAAAUGGAAAAGAAUGAAGGGACGUGCCUGGGCUUGGAAACGCCGGUUUUUUUACCGGUUUUAGUGAGAACGUCGAGAUACUCUACUUCUUCAAUGUAAGGCUCUGCCAUUGUUUCUUUCCGAUGAAUCAGACUUUGUCUUCGUUGACGAAUUUGGUAAAUUGCGUGCUUCUUUAUUUAGUCUAAUGGCAGUAGAUUCCGUCUUUCUUCUCUUCUUUAACAACAAAAGUAGGGCUUUUUUAUCACCAAAAAAAAAUUAUUAUUUAUGAAAAUCAUCAAGUUAAAAUUUAUUUUUCCCUUAUCAUUAGCCGAUGAUUGGCUGUUUAAAAAAAAUAAUUAUUGUUGAGCGCUAUCUAUAUGUAUUUUUUCAAAUAACGCAUAAAUAUAUGUAUUUUUUCAACUCAGGCGACACCGGAGUUGACGGAGCAAGUUCGGGCUAAUGACGGCCCGACAUAUCCAGCCCAGACAUCAAUUGGAUCAUCGGUCUGGUUUCAUAUUCUAAGUCCGAUUCGAUUAAUUUUUGCGUUUUUGUCUCGAUUUUGGACUCUCGAACUUAAUUUAUGAUUUCAGUUCUAAUUUUUAAAUUCAAUUACCAAUUUGGCUAAUUAUCUUACUUAAAAAUUAAUUUUUAAAAAGAUUAUAUUAAUUUUUAAUUAAUUUAAUUUUACUUUAUUAAAAUUAUUUUUUUCAAAAGUCACUUAGAUUUUCUAAAUUAAUUUUUUAAUAAAAUUUUUUAAUCAAAUUCUCUAGUUAACCAAUUCUUACAACCGCCCAAUUUAAUUCUACAUCAAAUAAAUCGACUCAAUUAAAUUAUUAUCUUUUGAUUUAAAUGUAGUCAGAUUAAGUUUUUAUUGAGUUAGCGAAUGGGUCAAUCAAACAUAUACAAUUAGGCUCUAGUAAUUAUAAUUAUGUCUAGAAGCAUUGUUAUGAUAAUUCGCAAUUACUUAAUCAUGAAUUUAAUCCACAAGUACCAUAAUUGAAAACUCGUUAUUGUAUACUUUUUUACGAAAGCAAUUCAUUCAACUCCUUUUUCCAAUUACCUCGUUAUGUGUGAAUUACCCUCAUAUGAAAUUCUUAAUUCCUUUGAAUUAAACUCAUUCACUCAAUACAAUCAUAUUUUAUCUCGUUGUCACAAUUGUGUAUUCUUAAUGAUUAAUAUUAUCACUGUCAACAAAUCACUGUUAUAAAUUACUUGUUCAAAAAUUAGCAACCCGUGGUCAUAUUUCAUAUUUAUCAUUCACACAAUUUCAAUGAGAAGAUAGUGUUAACUCUUUAAUUGAGCUAUAAAUUCUACUGUUGUUAGUAAAGCCAUUCCAUACACAAGUCAUUUACCCAACAUAUCAGCUAUUGGCUCAAUUAUCGUUAAAGCAUAAGCCUCCACUUAUAUCAAAACACAUGAGUUUUAGUGACUAAUUCAGUAUUUAGAUAAAUCACAGCAUAAAUGUCACAAGUAAAUUAAUUCACAAACAGAUUCAGAAUUAAUUUAUCUUAGGUGCAGUUCAUUGUAUUAUUCUGCCAAUAAAUACAUCUAUGUCCUACCUGUGAAGUCAACUGCUCUGAUAGCUAAAACUAGCAAUCUCCUCAAUUGGAAUUGUAAACAACAUAAUAAUCCAUCUCAGUAUUCAAAUCAAAUGCUCACUUUAAUUCUUUAUGGGAUUACAGACUUGUUUAGAUUAUCUGCUGAAGUAAGUUGCCUUUCUUGUAAUGUAAACAUUCUUACAAUGUCACUUACCAUUAGUUUGAACUUUGAAAAUUAAUGAGAUAAUAUUUGCUUGUUACAAUUUCGCUAUACAUGCAAAAUAUGAAAGACAGAAAUACAAAAACCAUAACAGUGAAAUAUGAAAUUUAUUUAUUAAUCAUUCAAACACAUAGAAAACAAUUAAAUUUUUACUAUAAUAUGGGUAUAUUUCCCAACAAUCUCUCUUGGGUACGACCCUCGAAAUACUUUUAUGUUCUGUUGCAACAAAUUUAAGUGCAAUUUCUACAAGCAAACAAGUCAGGUUGAAUUAUAGUUUGUUUACAAUAAAACACUUAGUAAAUAUUUCGACAAUCAUAAUUCACCAAAGGAUUGCUAUUUGGAGAAAUUUAUUAUUAAUUUAAACACUUAGUAAAUAUUUCAAAACCAUUUUUUUGCAAACGGGAUCGACUUGAUUUUGAAAACGAAAAAUAAAACGGGAGUCGCCACCGAUCCUUAUUAGGUGUGAUCAGAUCACCUUUGUUUUAAUAAAACAUUUUAGUUUACUAAAACAGUGUUUUGGUCUACGAAUUUUAAGAGAACAAGUUCUGGAGUCGAUUACGUGCGAGGAAGGAUUAGCUCCCCCAACACACCCAAGAAUUGCUACCGAAUUGUAACGCCCCAAUUUUCGAGAAUUCUGUGAAUGUUGGCAUAGGUUUAAUUAUGUUAGUGGGCCUCUAGAAGGCCCAAGCUUAAGAUAGAACCCGGCAAUUUUAGUUAAUUUUUGUUCCAUAAGAAAAAGGGGGUGAAAUUAUGAAAUAGAACCUAUGUGAAAAUGUUUGAAAAUGCUAUAGGCUAAAUUGAAGUGGCCAAAUAAAUAGGAGUGCAAAAUAGGAGGAUUUGCAUGACAAACCUCCCAUUUUACAUAAAGUGGCCAGCCAUCAUAUUGUUGUAGACAAUAUGAGCACUUGAUAUCCAUAAUUCAUGGUACAAAUUGAUAAUGGGUAGUUAAAUGUUCCAUGAUAAUGGAUUAGGUAAAUAUUCCAUGAUAAUGGGUUAGGUAAAUGUUCCAUGAUAAUGGUUUAGGUAAAUGUUCCAUGAUGGACAUUUCAUGUCUUUUGUAUUAGAGAAUUAAAUGGAUGAAAUAUGAAAUUUUAUUAAAAGAAAAAGGGGUGAAAAGAACAAAGUUUUGUCCAUCUUUGUUCAUCAUAGCCGAAAGUUAGAGAAGAGAAAGGAGAGGAGAAAGCUCUUGAAUGUUCGGUCACUUGGGGAAGAAAAUUGAAGGUAAGUUCAUGGUAGUUUGCUUCUAUCUUGAUGUUCAUGAGUUCUUCUUGAUUCUACCUUAACUCUUGAAGCAUAUUUUGGUUUUUAGUUGUGUUGUGAGCAUUUAGUCAUGAAUUAAAAUGAAGGAAAUGGUUGUUGUUUCAUGUUCUUUUGAUGAAAAAUGGAAGAUAGGUGAAGUUGAGCCAAGCAAAUGAGCAUGCAUGUGCCUUAGAUGCUAAAGGGAAAAAUCGGCUAACAUGUUGUGCUUUAAAAUGAUGAAAUGGAGAUUAUACUUAAGUAAAAUCAUAGAUAUAUGAUGAUUGAUUGGUGAUAUACAUGUUUAAAUAACAUGCAUGCAAGGUAUGUGUGAAAGAGUGAUUUGGUAAUAAAUCUACUUGGGACAACAGCAGUAAUGUGACUUUGGAAAAUCACCAUAAAUUGUGGGAGAUGAGUUAGAAGCUGUAUAAAUUAUGUAAUUAAAGCUUAAUGAGUCUAGUUUCAAAUAAAAUGAACGAGAACAUAUUUUGAAUUCUGUACAAUGAGAAAUUUGAUUCGUAAUGAAGAGUGGUCAAAUUAGUCAAACAGUGAAACAUGGGAAACUUUAAGAAAAAUCUGGUAUUGAUUGGCUAAACCAAAAAUUCUUAAAAUUUUAUGGAUAGAAGAUAUAUGAGUCUAUUUUCAGGUAAAAUUAACGGCACUUGAUUUGGAGUUUCGUAGCUCCAGUUAUAAAUGAUUUAGUGACUGUUGCUCAGGAAGACAGCUUGCAGUGAAAUUAUGAUUAUGUGGUAAACACUGACAAAAAUUUGUUAAUGAGUUGCUUAUUGAUUUCUUAUAAGCUUACUCUGAUCCGUAGGUGUGGUUGGCCGAAUAUUGUAAGGGGUUAAUAUGUAGUUCGUAUUUGAAUAGUUAGAUUAAUGUGUUAGUAAUCCAAUUGUAGGCAGUUCGUGUGUGGAUCUCGUCAGCAUAUCAUCGCAAAUAGGUGUGUAACUAACACCCUCUUUCUUAGUCUGGAUCGGCAAAAGUCGAAAAGCCGAAAUGCCGAAAACCGAUAUUUUGUAGAUUUGCGAGUGUGCGAAUGCUCGUGAGGUAAAUCGAUUAAUGUUUUUGGUAAGCUGCAAAAUUUGGACUGCAAAGUGCAUGAUUUCUGUGCCCUCGAUAUUUUUGGGCUUAAUGGGCCAAAAUUUGAAUGAUGGGCCAACGGGUCCAAUUCGGUAAGAACCCUCGGUACGUGAUUCUGUUAGUACGUGAAAAGUAGGAAUAUGCAUGAAAAACCCUAAAAUAGAUAAAUUACUGAAAUACCUUUAAAAGUGGAAAAUUUACAGUUUUACCCCUAGUAGAUAAAUUACCGAAAUACCCCUAAGGUUAAAUUGACCUAAAUGCAUGUUUGACUAUUGUUAUUUACUGCAUGCCAUGUUGUUAUUAUCUGAUGCAUGGGAUUGGGAUAUUGACGGAGGAAGUACUGAAAGUGGCUUGUCCACGUACUGGAGGCUUUGCCUCAAUUUACUGUUAACUGAGCAGUAAGGCUGCAACUGUGGAGUGUUGGGCUGGAUAGGUUGAGCUAUUCCCCACAUGGAGUGUAGGGCUGGUACGGGUGGAGUGUAGUGGUUGGUGGGUUGAGUAGUCUCCCAAAAUGGGCUUGCAUAUGUUAUUGAUGUUGCAUGUAUUUUGAAAUGGGCCUAUGGGCCAUGCUGUUAUAUGAAUAAGGGGCUAAGGCCCAGUUUAUUGUAAUCUGAAAAGGGCUCUUGUCCAGUACCACUGUUACCUAAAUGGGCUUAGGCCCAAUAGGCUUGAGCUGACUUGGGCUUUGAAUGGGUUUUCCUUACACACUGAGUUUCCCCAAACUCACCCCUUUUAUUUUCAUCCACGCAGGAAAUCCCCAACCAUAGUGGGCUUGAAGCUGUGAGGGAAUUCGGAGUGGCCACCCGUUCUGAAAGUUUGGUUUUCUUCUAGUGAACUGGACAUCCUAUUAUUUACGUUUGAAGUUUUGGGUUUUUAAAUGUAAUAAGGCCGCUUAAUUAUUUUUGAUGGUUUUAAUAUGUAUUACUAAGAUAGGUAUUAUUUAUUUUACCUGUUGAAAUUGGAUAGCUUUAGGGCGCGUUUUCAAAAAUAACAAUUGAUUUCAAAAUAACACGACAAUAAGCAAAGCUUCCGCAAUGAAAGUAUUUUCCAAAAUUAAUCACUUUUCCUAAAAAUGACAUAAUCAAAUCGGUUUCCUAGAAAUAUCCAUGACGUUAAGGUGUGGCAAUGGCGGUAUGCAUGUCUAGGAUUGGAUCCGAAGGGAGCUUGGUACUUAAGCAGCCCGAUGGACUCACCAUCUCUUUUCCGGUUUCCUACCUGGUGCACAGCUUCCAUUCACUUUAACCUAUAAUGAAAUUAUCUUUUAAAACACUAAGUAGGUUUUUCUGGAUCAACAAUAUAAAAUGUUUUGAACGCUUCGAUGUGGCAUGUCGGAUCCGGCCAUAACGUCUGGGCCGGGUUUGGGGUGUUACACGAAUUGAUUAGUUAGUGUCUUAAUGUCGAAAAUCGAAAAUCGGGAAUGAAUUUGAAAUACGAUCUUUUCUAUAAAUAUCGAUUUUAAAAUUUUUGAAUUAGCUCAAAACAAAUUUGUUUAAAGAUUUCCUUAUCUCGAGAUAUCGGAGUAUCACAUCCCGUAAGUUAGAACACAAUACCAUAAAUUCCCGAACACAAGGUCGUCUUUUAAUUUAAAUGAGAGUUUCGUGUGUUUUAAAACUUGAAAAAGAUAUUUAGCUAUUUAGAAAUAACGAGAAAAUCGAAACCCAGUAAGUUAUGGCACAAUUCCUCGAUAUCUCAAAAUGCAUAACAUUGCCUUAUUUGGAAAAUUUUGUUUUUGAAUAGUAGCGAAUGUAAUAUUUAAAACAACAAGUGUUAUUUAUUUAGGUUAAAAUAAGGUAAUUUAUUGGAUAAAUACAUUGGGGUUUAAUUCGCGAGGCAAAUAUAUGAGAUACGAUGAUAAAUGAGUAUAAACAAUAAUACAUGGAUGACGUCAUGUAAAAAUACAACAAUAAGGUGAAAAUGCAAGUGAACAAUUUAUGAUACAUGCGAUGACAAUAAUGGCUCACAUACAUCAUUCACAUACUAACAUUAAUGAUUAAUGAACAAAAACAUAUUUUGCAAUCUAAAAAAUAUAAAUAGUAUAAAGCAAGUCAAAUUGAAUAAAGUAUAAAAACUAUAUAUAUAAAAAAAAACUAAUAGACGAAUUUAAAAAUAAAUAAAAUAAAAGAUGAAAUUCUUUUAAAAUCAAUAAUGUAUAAAGCGAUUUAAGAAAAGAUAAUACAUAUAAUUUUUUAGAACCAACAAUAUAUGUACAUAAAAGCAUACUACGGGUAAUAUAAGAAAGUCCUAUAAUAAAUAAUAAAUAGAAUGUUUUAGAAUAAACAAAUGGAAAUUUGAAAGGUAUAUGAAAACAAUUUAAACUAAUGAAAUAAAUUUUAAAUAAAUAAUGCAAAAGAUGAUUUUUUUUUUUAAAAAAGGUACUCUUAAAGUAUAAAUAUGGUGGUUUAUAAAUUGCUAUGAAUAAUGUUUUCGGCAUAAGAUAAAAUAAUAUAAAAUAUACAAUAAAAAAAUACAAUUUAACACAUCAUUUAAUAUUUAAAACAAACAUGCAAACUAAAAGGCAAGCAGUUUACAAAAGGGAACAUAAAAUAAAUAAUUAAUAUAUAUAUAUAUACAUUCAACAUUAUUGACAUAUAACACUUGGAAUAAAUAAACAAAUAAAAUAAAUUUAAGAUAAAUAAAUAAAUGAACAAUGUGACAAAUCUUAUAAGUAACACAUGAAAUUUUAAACUAAAUAAAUAUAACAUCUGAAUGGUCAGCAAAUCAAAUGUAUAAUAACAUGAUAAAACAAUUUGAAUAAAAGGGUGAGGGCUAAAUUAAAAUAAAAAUAAAAUAAAACGGGUAUAAAUUAUAAAAUAGAAAACUGCCAGCGACUAUAUUGAGAUACGCGCGAAGAAACAGGGGUCAACUGGGCAAUUACCCCAACCCUUAAUGCGCUGCGUUUCAAUGUUCAGUCCAGGGGUCAAAUCAGAGAUGGAAUAAAAAUGAUCGAGCUAAAUUUAAAAGAAAAAAAAACAAAUCAGGACUAAAUCAGAUAUCAGAAAAAGGGGGAAUGACCAAGGCCUGCAAUUUCCCAUUUAAAGGAAAAACGCGGAUCCCCCCGGAUACGGGUCGGGUCGCGAACGGGCACACCUAAAACGAUGCCGUUUGGGCACUUAGGUCACCCUUCAAAACGCUGCCAUUUCAUGCAGCAGAUUUAAGCCCAGAUUUUUUUAAAAAUUUUCAUUUUUACAGUCUAUUUUGCAGAAAUUCCAAAAUAUAUUCUUCUUUUUUUAGGGUUUUAAAACCCCUCCAUUUUCGCCUAUUCCAUGGCCAACCAUGGAUUCCCCGGCGAUCCUCCAUGCCCAUGCCACGAAUCGGUGACCGGUACUACACGAGGUGGGCUCCCUUUGGUCCUCCUCCGAACGGAGGUCGAAGGCGGAGCCUUCGCGGCCCACCACGACGGAAGAGACGAGGAAAGGCCCCGGGCGGUUCGUUGGAGCACCCCAAGCAGUGAAUCGAAGGUACCUUUUUUAUUAUUCGUAUUUUUUAUUACUGUUUUGUGUGUAAAGAAAAUGAAAAAGAAAUAAAGAAGAAAGCAAAUCUCAGUGGAAAAGAAUGAAAAUCGAAACUCAACAAUAAUCAUCUUUUGAAAUUGUCUAUUUUUUGGAUUAAUUUUGUUUGGUAAAUGUCUGUAACCGUUUACAAAGCAUAGAUUCCGGCUUUAAAGCCAAUCUAUCAACCGUUCACUUCCUUUUUCUUUGUUCUUUUGUUCAUUAUUUUCUUUUGCAUGCUCUCUGUUGUUGCAUCUGAUUUGAUUGCAGGUGUCAGACGUGAAAGGCCAACGGUUGGCUGGUGAGAAGGCGAGGUAGCGCGCGUGAAGGAGGCCGAACGGCGCCUAGGGUUUCCCUCUUCUCCUUUGGCUGAAAAAUGUUUAGGAUAGUUGGGCUGGUUGGGCUUCAGGGUUUUCUUUUAAUUGGGUAUUGGGUAAUUUGUUAUUUGGGCUAGAUGUAAUGGACUCUUGGACUUUUAUUUUGUUUAUUGUAUUUUGGGUCUUAUUUUGGUUUGUUGGCAUGGGCCAAAAUUGGCUAUAACAGCUGCCCCUCUUUGCUCAUUCUCGUGUAAUGAGAAUGGAGCAAAGACAUUAAAAUAGCCAAUUUUGCCUAGUCUAACUGGAUCUUGGCUUCUUGGUGCUUCUUUUCUUCGAGUAACCUCGCUCCAUCCUACUGCAUCUUCAGGGGUAUUGGAAUUAAUUCUAUGGUUUGCUCCAAGGUAAUUUCAAGGAGAGGAGACUUGUAGCUUCGAUCAACUCUGUUGGAACUUCAAAGGGCUAAGGCUUGAUAAUUUCAACCUGCUCCACUGCGUCUUUAGGGAGAUGAGGUUUGCGACUCUAACCCGCUCCACUGCAAUUUCAGGGAGAUGAUAAUGGCUUUAAUUUGCUCUACUGCAACUUCAGAGAGAUAAGAUUUGCCAUGGUAGAUUUGAUCCGACCCUACUGCAACUUCAAAGGUAUAGGAUUUAUAGCUUUAAUCUGCUCUACUGCAACUUCAGAGAGAUAAGAUUCGCUAAUUCGAUCUGCUCCACUGCAACUCCAGAGAGGCAAGAUCUAUAAUUUUCAGCCUAUUACCCUACUGCUUAGGGGGUUAAGGCUUGGUGGCUUGAAUCUGCUUCACUGUAACUUCAGGAAUGCGAGAUUCAUCGUCUCUGAUCUGCUCCACUGCAACUUCAGGGAGGCAAGAUCUGUAAUUUUCAACCUAUUACCUGACUGCUUAGGGGGUCAAAGCUCGUAAACUCAGCUUGUUACCCUACUGCUUAGGGGGGUUAAAGCCCAUCAUCUUCGAUCUGUUUCCCUACUGCUUAGGGGGUCAAGAUCUGCGAAUUCACCGAUGUUGCUACACCAUCCUCUAGGGAUAUGAUCUGUAAAAUCGGUUCCAGGUAACUAUGCUUAUGCCAAAUAAUUAGGAUGCUAUGAUCGAAAUGAAUCAAAUGCUCCUAACUAGAUGUGUUAUGAAUGAUAUAUGAAUGAAAAUGUCAUUAUUUUUAAUGCUUGAUCUGAUAUUACUCGUCGUUCACCGAGAUUUUAUCAAUGACAUAUUACUCUGCCUUUUUUUCGACUGGUAUCUCUGGCAGAAAACCCGAAGAAUAAUCACAAUUUGGGCUAUUCUUUCCCUAACACUUCCAACCCUUAAGUUUGGGUAAUUCAAACCAAUUAGUUCCGUGUCAGGUCCUUGUAUCAUUUAGAAGAAUUUCAGAGUUAUAUGCAGAACUCUUUUUGAAUAUUAUUAGUCCAUUAAUCAUCAUUUUAAUGAAAGACGCUUGAAAAAGAUUAUCGCAGUAGGCAAGAUGGAAUUUUAUUGAGAGCGAAACUCAAGAUGAACAAGGUAAUCAAGAUAGGAUAUUUGCUAAUAUACAAAAUGAGAACCUAUGAAUUAAUCAAUGUAGCACAUUCUGCUAAACAGAAUGAAUAAGAUAAGAAUAGGUGCCCUAGAUAUCGCAGUAUAAGCUUCGUUGCACAAACUUCUCAAGGACCCUUUGUGUAACAGCCUAAUUUUCAGUGGUGUCGGAACAGUGAUUUAAGAUCACUAAAUCCGACAAAUGAGUAAGAAAUAUUAUUAAUUUAGUGAGUAUAAGUUAAAUGUGAAGUUAGAAAAAAUUUUGAAAUUGUGAAAUGUACAAAAAAUACAUAUAUAUAUUAAAAUAAUUAGAAUUGAAAACGAGGUAUCGAGACCUUGGGAAUUUUAAAUCGAGCCAUAAAUAUUUUUAUAAAUAUUUAUGGAGUCUUAAUAAGUUAGUAUUAAAGUUUCGUCAAGAAAUUUUAAAGUACUGAUAGCUAAUUGAACAAAAAGGACUAAAUUGUAUCAAAUGCAAAAUUGUGGGAAAUGAUUAAAUAGCUUAAAUGAUAAAAUAAAGAGGGUUUAAAAGGAAAAUAGACCCAAGUUAUAUUUGGGCUGGACGGCAAGAGCAUGAAAUCACCAAGAAAAUAAGGGCAAAAUUGGAAAAUUGCAAAAUUUACUUAAUAAAGCAAGGACUAAAGUGGAAUUAUCUAGAUUUCUCUUUAUUUUUCUGCACUCUCAUCAGCAAAAACACCAUAGAAGAGUUUCCUUAAGCUGGUUUUUCAUAUUUUUACUGCAAGUAAGUUCAAUUCUUGAUUAUUUCUUGAAAUUUUUGUGUUUUUGUGACUUUUACAACUAGGUCCAUUUGUUGAAUUCAUUAGUUCUUGAUUCUAUGAAAGAAAUUAAAUGUUUCUAUGAAUAUGUGCUGGAAGUAUAUGAUGAUUUGAUAUAGAAUUAGAGCUUUAAAUUGUUUAUAUGCUGAUUUUAUUGAAAGAAUUGAAUAGAAAGUGAAUGUUUGGGACCUAAAUUGUAAAAGAGUUUGAAGUUAGAUUUUUAUGUGGAAAUUCUGAAUUUCAAUAGUUAUGAAAUAACUUAUAAUGUCUAGGAAAAGUAUUAAUUGAGAAAAUUAGUUUAAUUGAGGGGUUAAUUAAGUAAGGACUGAAUUGUAUGAACUGUGAAAUUUGGGGCAAAAUGAAAAUCAACAUUUUGCACUAAAACAGUUUUGGACAGCAGCAAUAGUCUAACUUUGAAAAAUCUCCAAAAAUUUUAGAAAUCUAAUUAGAGGAUGAAUAAAAUACGAAACUAAAACUUAUUUAGUCUAGUUUCUUAUAGAAGAAACGGUGUAAGCAAUGGAAUUAUAAAUAAUGAGAUAUAAUAAGUUUUGUGAGACAAUGUCAGAAUGAUUUCGGGUUCCCCUGUUCUGACUUUGGAAAAUCAUCAAAAAUUGGAGAAAAAUAAUUAAGGGAUUAAAUUUAUAUUUUUAAAAUCCUUAAAGAGUCUAUUUUCAAUAGAAAUAAGCGGGAACAUCAUCCGAAUCUCGUACGAUGAGAGAAUUAAUUCUUAGUGAAAAAGGGUCGGAACUGUCAGACAUCAGAACAAGGGCAACUUUAAAGAAUAAACUGUACUUAUUGGCUAAGCCAAAAAUUCUGAAAAUUUUAUGGUAAUAAGAUAAGUAAGUCUAGUUUCAGGGAAAAUUAGCGGAUCUUAAUUUCGAGUUCUUUAGCUUAAAAUAUAAAUAAUUUAGUGACUAUGAUGCAAAUGGACAGUUUUGAAUAUACAUAAGUAAAUAGUGAAAUUAUUGAUAAUGUUACUUGUUGCAUGUUAUAUAAAUUAAGGAUGUGGAAUGGAGAGAAGGAGGAGGAAAAUAUGUAUGAAUAUUCAGCUAGCAUGGCUAAUUUGUAUGUUUUAGGCUCAUGGACUAAAUUGAAUGAAAGUAAAAUUUUAUGGGCAAUUUUGUAAAAAAAAUGUUAGAAAUGACCAAUUUGCAUGAAAUGGAUUAUUUUAUUAUUUAAAUUACAAAAUUGAAUGAAACUAUUAAUUUAGCUCAAGAUCAGGGAAAAACAUGUUUUAAGGAUUAAAUUGAAAAGUGUUGAAAUUAUGGAAAAUUCUGACAUUUUAUAGAAUUCAUCGGUUGUUAUCAAUUUAUGUGAGAAUAACGGCUGGAAAUAAGGAUUAAAUUGCAAUAAUUUUAUUUUAAUUUAACCUAAGGAUGAAAUCGUCAUUAAUUAAAAGUUUAGGGGUAAAAUGAUAAUUUUGUUUAGAGCAUUAGUUGAACGUAUUAUAACAUGAAAUAAAUGAAAACGAUGAUCAAAUUUCUUUAUAAAGAUCCGGAUGACUUGAAUACGAUACUUGAACGUGGAAAAGAAAAGAUAUCGGAUUAAUGAAAUAUCUGAUAAAUGAAUCGGUAACUCCGGUAAUGCUCCGUAACUCUAUUCCGGUGACAGAUUCGGGUUAGGGGCGUUACACUUUGAACUCGGUAUGUGUUUAGAAGACCAAUAGCACUUUGUUGAUGCCCCAAUAUGUAGCACCCCUCCUUCUUGAUAAUUCAGAGAAGACAAAACUGUCGCAUGCCCCAUGUUCAAUCAAAAUUUGAAUUGCCCAUUCUUGGGUUUUCAAUUCAAACCCCUUUGGUCUCAAAGCGCCCUUUCACGGGUUUUCACCUUGGCCUCUCCGUUUUUUUUAGGUAAAAUACCUCUUGACUGAAUCCGAAUUUACAGGAUUAGGCAGGCUUUUACCAUCCAUCUCGGUCAAAAUCAGAGCCCCUCUGGAGAAAGCCUUCUUUACCACAUAAGGUCCCUCCCAAUUUGGCAUCCAUUUCCCUCUGAAGUCAUUUUGUAUGGGGAGGAUCUUUUUCAAUACGAGGUCUCCUUCAUGGAAUUCUCUAGGGCGAACCUUCUUAUUAUAAGCCCGCAUCAUUCUCUUUUGAUACAUUUGACCAUGACGGAUAGCCUUUAGCCUAUUUUCUUCAAUCAAGUUCAACUAGUCGUAUCGAGACUGGAUCCAUUCUACUUCAUCUAAUUUUAGUUCUGAAAGCACACGUAGAGAGGGAAUCUCGACCUCAAUAGGCAGAACUGCUUCCAUUCCAUAAACUAAAGAAAAAGGUGUUGCCCCGGUAGAGGUUCUGACUGACGUCUGGUAGGCAUAUAGGGCGAAUGGUAAUUUCUCGUGCCAAUCUUUAUAGGUCUCAGUCAUUUUUCCUAUGAUCUUAUUGAUGUUCUUAUUGGCUGCUUCCACUGCACCAUUCAUAUUUGGGGGAUAAGGUGACGAGUUAUGAUGUUUGAUCUUGAAUUAGCUGCAGACAUCCACUAUCGUGCUGUUGUUCAAGUUCAGUGCAUUGUCUGAUAUGAUCCUUUCAGGCAUCCAAUAUCGACAUAUGAUUUCUUUCUUUAAGAACUUACUGACUGUCGACUUUGUGACGUUGGCGUAAGAAGUAGCCUCUACCCACUUGGUGAAGUAAUCUAUGACCACAAAGAUGAAUUGGUGUCCAUUAGAUGCCUUCGGUGAGAUCGGCCCAAUGACAUCCAUGCCCCACAUGGAGAAAGGCCAUGGAGAAGUCAUGACAUGAAGGGGUAAAGGAGGUACAUGAAUUUUAUCUCCAUAAAUUCGGCAUUUAUGGCACUUCUUGGCAUAGUUGACGCAAUCUCCUUCCAUGGUGGACCAAUAAUAUCCGAAUCUCAUGAUCUGUCUGGCCAUGGUGAAACCAUUAGCAUGUGUUCCACAGACACCCUCAUGAACCUCUUCCAGGAUUUGCUUAGCCUCGACAGCGUCUACACAUCUUAAGAGUACCUGAUCAUUCCUUCUCUUGUAUAGGAUCUCUCCAUCCAAGACAUAGUCACUAGCCAGCCUUAUUAGUGUCCUUUUAUCAUUCUCAGUCCAUUGAUCUGGGUAUUCACGACUCUUCACAUAUCGUAAAAUAUCCUGGUACCAAGGAUGAUCAUCUUUCUAUUAUUCUUCUUCAAUGUUGCAGCAAUGAGCCGGAGCCUCAUAAAUACUCAUUUGGAUAGGCUUCAUAUUCUCUUGUUUAUUCAUUUUGAUCAUAGAAGCUAAGGUUGCCAAAGCAUCAGCCAUCUGGUUUUCGUCUCGUGGAAGGUAGUAGAAAGUGAUAUCGUCAAACUCCUCUAUUAACUCAAGAACCAGCCUUCGGUAAUUGAUCAACUUAGGUACUCUUAUCUCCCAUUCACCUUUAAGCUGAUAGAUCACUAAUGCAGAAUCCCCAUAUACCUCUAGUGCUUUAAUCUUACGUUCUAUUGCUGCACGAAUUCCCAUGAUACAUGCUUCGUAUUCGGCCAUAUUGUUUGUGCAAUCAAAAUCUAAUUUACUGGUGAAAGGACAAUGAUCUCCACUUGGGGAUACCAAAACUGCCCCAAUUCCGUUCCCCACAGCAUUGGAAGCUCCAUCAAAAUUCAACUUCCAGGGGUGGCCUUCUUGAGAGUCUUCUUCCAUGGUUGCCACGUACAUUAGAUCCUCAUUUGGGAAGUCAAAUCUUAACGGUUCAUAAUCUUCUAGAGCUCUUCUGGCUAGAAAAAUCUACUAUUACACUCUCCUUUAUAGCCUUUUGGUUUACGUAGACUAUGUCAAACUCAGAAAGCAAAAUUUGCCAACGAGCCAUUCUUCCGUUCAAAGCAUUUGACUCCAUCAUGUACUUCAAAAGGUCUAGUUUUGAGAUGAGCCAAGUUGCAUGGUACAACAUGUAUUGUCUCAAUCUUCAGGUUGUCCAAAUCAAAGCACAACACAACUUCUCGAUCGACGAAUAUCUUGUCUCACAUUCAGUGAAUUUCUUGCUGAGAUAGUAUAUCGCUUUUUUUUUUCUUAUUAACUUGUCAUGUUGGCCCAACACGCAUCCCAUAAAGUUUUCAAACACUGUCAAGUACAGUAUCAAUAUUUUAUCCGGGCAAGGUGGCAUCAGUACUGGGGCACUGGACAAAUAAAGUUUGACCUUAUCAAAAGUUUUCUGGCACUCCUCAUUCCAAACACCUGGAUUAUGCUUCCUAAGGAGACGGAAUAUAGGGUCACGUUUCCCCGUUAGUUGUGAGAUGAAACGGGCGAUGUAAUUCAGUCUUCCUAAGAAACCUCAAACUUCUUUUUGAGUGCGCAGCAGAGGUAAUUCUUGUAUAGCCUUGACUUUAUCCAGGUCAAUCUCGAUCCCUUUUUCAUUGACCACGAAUCUCAACAACUUUCCUGAUCUGGCCCCGAAGCUGCACUUUGAGGGAUUGAGCUUUGGUUGGAACUUCCUUAACCUUAAGAAUAGUUUCCUAAGGACUUACACAUGCUCCUUCUCUGUUUUGGAUUUCGCAAUCAUGUCAUCAACAUAAACUUCAAUCUCCUUGUGCAUCAUGUCAUGGAACAAAGUUACCAUGGCUCUUUAAUAUGUUGCUCCUGCGUUUUUCAGUCCGAAUGGCAUCACCUUAUAACAAAACGUUCCCUACAUGGUCACAAAUGUUGUCUUUUUCAUGUCUUCAGGAUGUAUUUUUAUCUGGUUGUAUCCUAAGAAGCCGUCCAUGAAGGAGAAAAGUGAAUAACCUGCCGUGUUAUCCACUAGUGUAUCAAUGUGAGGCAAUGGGAAAUUGUAUUUUAGGCUGGCUUUGUUCAAAUCCCGAUAAUCCAUGCACAUCCAUACCUUCCCAUCUUUCUUAAGAACUGGGACUAUGUUGGCUACCCAUUCUCAGUACUUGACCACUUGUAAGAAACCAGUGUCGAAUUGCUUCUUGACCUAUUCCUUUAUCUUUAACAAAACAUUGGGUCUCAUCUUUCGGAGUUUCUGUUGUACUGGCCUGCAUUCUUCCUUUAUGGGGAGUCGAUGUACCAUGAUAUCAGUAUUCAAUUCGGGCAUGUCUUGAUAUGACUAUGCGAAGGCAUCCUUGAAUUCCUGGAGUAACUCGAUGAGGUCUUACUUUGUUUCUACAGCGAUACUAGCUCUAAUUUUCACCUCUUUUCCUUCUCCUAAACUAACAAUUUCCACCGAAUCUUUGUGAGGUAGGAUUUGUUUCUCCUCUUGCUCUACCAUCCUUAACAAAUCAGGAGAUAAGUUACAAUUUCGGUCAUCUUCAAAAUCCUCAGUGUCCUCCAUACACAAAUCUUGCUCGAAAGGAAUCUCUGAGUCAUUGGCAACGUUACUCAUAUCAUUGAUAUCUAGAGACCUGUUAUGGAUGAAGAAAGAAAUCCAAAGAAUAAAAGAAUCUAAGAAUAUUUUAUUUGUGUGGUAUGAUUAUGAAUGAAGUAGAAAGAAUAAAUGAAUAUUUGCUUAAUAUGAUACGCAAGAAUGCAUUUUUAUUGAAAUGACGAUAUUUGGACAUAUGUAAGGGUUCUUAUUGCCCCUAGGCAUAGAGCAAUAAUCUUGUUUUGAACAUUACUCUAAGUUAAUUCUAAAAGUUACAGGGAUCUCCUCCACGGUCCAAUUGUUCAAAACACUUCCAGGAAUGUAAGGGCAAAUUCCAGAUAAAUCCCCUUCUUCGGUUCUUUCUUCAGAUAUGGCGUUAAUGCUCUAACUUCCCAACAUUUCUUCUGCCACUUUCUGCAUUGUCAUCUCUUGUUUUGGAUGGAUAGUUCCUCCGGACACAAACGUUCAGGAUAAAUGUGGAAAGGUCAUGGGUUCUCAUUUGACCUCCUUACCGCGCAAACGUGCUCUUCUCAUCUCUUGCUUUUUCUCCAGCUCUUUCUUCUUUUGCUUCGCGUCUGCCUUAAAUUCUAAGCCAAAGCGGUCUCAUUUUUCUUUUAGCAUCGGUAUCUUGCUCCUUCCUUGGAGGCAUCUUCCAAGUCCUCUUCCUGGCAGGACUCAUUCGCCGACCGUCAAUCGCAGGCCCAUCCUCGUAGCUUUGGAUAUUUUGGGCAUUGGGAUCUUGUUUCCUUCAACAAUAAAUGUAGCAUUGACGAAUUCCAACAAUCAAAAGGAACCUCAUCGUCCGUACCCACGUACGGUGCGUCACUGAUAACGGAUGCAAUGAUGUCUUCCUCCGCGUUUAUCGUUACCAACCUACCCUCAGUUACCAACUUCAAUUUUUAGUGUAGGGACAACGGCACUGCCCCUGCCGAGUGAAUCCACGGCCUCCCCAACAGGAAAUUGUAUGAUGGCUUGAUGUCCAUUACCAAGAAGUCCACCUCGUUUGUAUUUGGGCCAAUCAAGAGAGGCAUCACGAUCCUUCCCAUCACUUUUCUUUUCGUACCGUCGAAUGCUCUCACGAUGUUUUGACAUGUCUUCAUGUGAGAGUUAUCUACUGGCAAUCUAUUUAACGUGGACAAGGGCAUGACAUUCAAUGCUGAUCCAUUAUCAAUCAAUACCCCCGGCAAUGUGUAUCCCUUGCAACGAGUGGUAAUGUGUAAGGCCUUUGUAGAUCCCAUGCCUCCCGGUGGUAUUUCAUCAUCAUUAAAGAAAAUAAAAUUAUCCGCGCAGAUGUUGUUGACCAAACGAUCGAGCUUGUUGACGGAUAUAUCAUCCGCAACAUAUGUUUCAUUUAAAACCUUCAUCAAUGCACUUCGGUGAGUCUCUAAGCUCAAGAGCAAGGCUAAUACCGAUAUGCGGGCUGACUAUUUGUGUAACUGUUCCACAAUGCUGUACUCGCUGUGUUUUAGGAAUUUUAAGAAUUCCUUAGCCUCAUUUUCAGUUACAGGCUCAUUGACAGGUGAUUCAGGUCCGGUUGUCUUUUCCUUUUCUCGUUCAACGACCACGAAUUUUCCUUUAGCUGGUUUGGCCUUUGGUUCGGAGUAUAACGCCUUCCGCUGCGUGUAUAGAAACCCUCGUCUUAACCUUUCUCUGAAGUGCCAACUGGAUUCUCCCCUCCCGGGAUCGUUACGUUGCAGUCGUAAUUCCAAUGAACCCUUUUGCUAUCCUUAUAAGGGAAAGCAACGGGCUUUUGAAUUAUGACCUUUGGCGCAAUUGGUACUCCGACUUCAUUGACUCUUGGUCAGGAUAUAAUUACAAUCGGUGAUUGACCCCUGGGACAUUGUUGGUUGGCCCUUGCUUUGACGUGCACACAUCUUCUCCCUUCGGGCCCUCGGUGUACUCAAAGAAUUCGAUCUCUUUAUUUUCUAUCAAUCUCUGUACUAGAGCCCUGAAUUCAUUGCACUUUUGGAUCUCACGCCCUUCCUUGUAGUGGAAUUCACAGUAGUACUUCCCUCUUUCAGGCUUCUCCUUUAAACCUUGUAUAAGUAAACCUUCUUUCACCAUUUUUUUCCAAACCCAUCUUAACGGGGUCUUUACCUCCGAUACGUCCAUCUUAGUUCUCCUUCCUCCACUUUCGUUUAUCGCGUUUACCUCAUUGUCUGAAUGACUGGGUAACGGAUUUCCCGCCACAUUAGGUUUUGUGGGAUCAUUGAACUUCACAAUGCCCAUCUUUAUGAACCUUUCGACUAAUUUUUUGAAGGCUGCGCAGUUCUUAAUUGUGUGCCCCACAAUUCCUGCAUGGUAUUCGCAUUGUGCGUUUGCAACAUAUCAUUUUGGGAAUGGAGGUUGCAUCAUAUCAUCCUUUGACAGAACAUACUAAUAUAAGCUUCAGGGCAGCUCGUUCCAUUAUACUUUUCAAAUUCUGGGGUUUUAAAUUUUGGUAGGAGCACCAGGUCUAGGACCAAGCUUAAGUCCUUAGCGUCGAUCUCGCCACGAUAAUCAGCAGUCUCCAUUGCUUUAAAUUUUUUUUCAAGCCAUUUACAAUGAUCAUCGAGUUGUUUUGUCAGGUUUACUUUUUCUUUCUCCAUUUCCACCGCGUCGUCAAGGUCCGGUACAAAUGGAUUAGCUGGAUUAUCUCCAGGCUUAGAGCUCGAACCUAUAGGAAUGUUCAUUUGUGUAGAGGCAUUGGCCUGGUAUUAUUGGGGCCUGAUAAUGACAGGUACUGUUCGUGGGUGCACCUUCGGUUGUGGUUGAGUGUUUACCGGAGUAAAGUCUGGAGGGAAGAUAGGGUCUUCAUUGUCGUUCCCCAUAGUGCUCUUUCCUUUUUCGCGUUCUCUAGCCUGCAACUGCGCCAACUGGCCUAUCAGAUUAUUUUGGGAUUCUUCCAUUUUUUCCUUCAUAUAUUGUUGUAUCUUAACCAGUUGCUCUUGCAUCUGCGCUUGUAAUUGUUCUUGUAUUUCUCUUUGCAUUUGUUCUAUCCUUUCUAAUCUCUGAUCCAUUGCUUUGGUUUUACGACGGGUAUAGUAGCUGUGUUCGGUUGGUUGAUUCUCGUUGGUUUCCAGAUUAACUAAAAUAAUUUUGUUUAAUCAGGGUUUUUUCGUGAAAUUUAAUGCACAUGAUGAAAUGUAAUGCAAAUGAAUGAAUGCAAAAAAGAGGCGUUUAUUCCAAUUCAAUUUCAUUAGAAGAAAAAUUUCUUUACAUAGAACGAAUGAUUACAUAUACGACUUUGCCCUAAUGCCCAAAGCCUUAACUUUCCUAAGAAGCCAAGCUAAGUGCCGGCCUCGCUCUGAUUCCGACUCGUACUUUAAGCUCAAUAUAUCUGCUUGGACUACCAAGGUUUGCAAGUGAUCAGCUACCUCCCGAACCUGAGCCACAGCUUCGCCCAUGACAUAGUCUCUAUCUUUAAUCUGGUUUUGAGAGCGGAGAAGUUGUUCCCUACAAUGGUCGUUGUUUACCUCAAGAAGUUCUACUCAGAUUUUGCUAUCUCGCAGUGCAGUCUCGAGUUCCUCUACUUUUCCCUUUAACUCUUCGAUCUUGCUCAGAUUGGCCUUCAGCUCAAUUACCGAAUUACGGCUACGAUGUUGAUGUAGUGAUCUUUCCAAUUCAGCCACCCGAGCUCGUAACUUCUCCUUUUCGUUUUGGCUUUCUAUCAAACUCUUCUUCAGAGUGUCCUCUCAUACUCGGGCAUCUUGAAACCUUUUAUCCCAAUGGUCGGCUCUAGUCUUUUCCUCUUUGAUCUCUUGACGCCAUUGCUCUGACGCUUUACCUAAACUGGCAGUUCUUAUCGACAUACGCAGUUUAUUGUAAUCGAUUUUCAGACUAUCUAAAUCUUCCUCGGCCUUGUUCUUUCUUUUCCUUAACUUUUCGGCCUCUAGCUUGUGGAUAUCGACGUCUAACCCCAACUUCAUUUUCUCUUCUUCUAGCUACUCUAUCUUCUUUCCUAACUCUGAGUUCUUUUUCUCAAAGUUUUGUUUAAUGAUCUCUAACUCGGAUGGGAUGACUCAUAAAUGCUUCUCUAUCGGUUGAGUGUUCCCUUGAUUCAGCCUAGGGAUGUUGUCGUUAACUCUCCAACCCCACCACCAUUCAUACUCGAAGGUCGUCAUCGGGCUUGUGGUGAAUCCUUUCAUUCUUCGAGUUUGGUUCCAAGCAUCUGAUAUCUCACGAACUUUUUUCUUAUAACCGUCAUCCUUAUAAGAGAACUCACAUUGAGCUAACCCUUGUGUCACCGGUAUAAACUGCCUUGAUCGGUACUGCCUUAACACUAUCAGCGGGGCGUAUUCAAUGGCUCCCCAUAUUCCAGCCAGAGGGACCCAGUUAAAAUCACUGCACCUAUAAGAUCUCGUCAGGAAUCAACCACGGAGCCCUCCAUUCAACAUCUUCGGCCCGUAAAUUUUGGAGAAUAAUUAUCCAUUUCUCUUCUGAAAUGUCGUCUCUCCUCGAUGUGGCCACUAAUUCUCUUAAUGGAGAAUAAUCCUUAGAGAAUACCCGAUAGGAGACCUUCUCCACCUUCCAAAAAUGACUGUAGAACCAAGCCAAAAGAAACUGUGCAUAACCAAUAAAUCUUUUCUCGCCCGCUCUUCGGCAUGCAUUCAAGGAUCGAAAAGUUUCUGCUAGGAUUGCCGGGACGGAUGUGGUACCUUUAUCAAGUCGAUCGAAUAAAUCCGAGACGGCUUCAUCUAUGUGUCCGAGUGGCUUAGGAAAAACGAUCAAACCGUAGAGGCUUAAGGCAAAAACAUCAACCCUUUUCUUCGAAUCCGGGUGCGCAAGAAUCAAGUCCCUCAAAUUCCUCUAAGGAAUACACUUACUAUCCCCUUUUUGCUUGAUGUGGGCUGCAACCUAUUGCUCGCUCAUCCCCGUUAUAUUCAUCAACUUCUUCAAAAAAUGAGGGAUGUUGACAGGUCUUGAAUAGGCCCUAUCGGCCUGAAACUUCGGGCAAUUAAGUAACGCCAUGUAUUCCUCCAUAAUAGGUACUAAAUCAAUUCAUCCGAAGGUGAAGCAACUGUAAGCGGGGUUCCAAAAUUGUGCAAGGCCCGGAACAAGUACUUGUCCACCUUUACAUCAAGCAAAUAGGGUAGGUCGCCAUAGUUACAGUAAAAUAGUUGUUUGACUUCGCCAUUCCAACUAUUCCAUAUAUCCCUUAACUCUUGCAGGUCGUUCUGAGUUACACUAAUGCGAGUGAAAUCCCACAACUCUGACUCAUAUCCCUCGGUCAAACUAUCUCCUUUCUCUUGUUGCGUUCUCUCAGACCACACUCGAACGGUUGCAUUAUCCUCCACUCUAUCAAGAAAUCCUUUUUCCAUGCUAAACUCUCCUAUUUAGUAACCGAAUCGUAAAUCAACACCCUUUUUUAUGAGAUGUCAUGUGAAAACAAUCAAAAUGCAACAAGUCAGUAUUAUAUACACAGAAUAGAAUUCAAAACAAAUAAGGAGUAAAUAAGCACCUAAUCGGGUGACCACUAGGGUUCGGUGUGGUUCUACCUGGGGUAGGCUCUUAGGGCUCAUUACAUGUGGUUCGGUUCUAAAGUAAAGGUACCUGAACUAGCAGAUUCCUCGAUCCUCACCCAUUAUAGGCUCGUAUGGACCGAGUUCGAUUCAGGGGAAUACAUUUCCUUACGGCUAUACAGAGAUAAAAACCUCGCGAAUACGCAGGUACGGAUGUAUCCCGAAAGCGAUCCACUACCCUAUACAGAGGUGAAGACCUCACGAAUGAGUAUUUUCUCACUUCCACUUAAGAGGGUGAAAUUGACAGGUAAUGCAAUGCGAUAUGCAGAGAUACAGAAUUAAACCACUUAAAGCAACAUAUUAUGAAAAACGCCACGAAAGUAACAGACAACAUACAAUGCAGUAAAUUUAAAACCGAUUUUCAAUUUUCAACAAAAGACAAUAAAUAAUCAAUUUAAGGCUCGACUCUCGAAGUCCUCAGUGGAGUCGCCAAGCUGUCGAAACCAUUUUUUACAAACGAGAUCGACUUGAUUUUGAAAACGAAAAUUAAAACGGGAGUUACCACCGAUCCUUAUUAGGUGUGAUCGGAUCACCUUUGUUUUAAUAAAACAUUUUAGUUUACUAAAACAGUGUUUUGGUCUACGAAUUUUAAGAGAACAAGUUCGGGAGUCGAUUACGUGCGAGGAAGGAUUAGCUCCCCCGACACGCCCAAGAAUUGGUACCGAAUUGAUUAGUUAGUGUCUUAAUGUCGAAAAUCAAAAAUCGAGAAUGAAUUUGAAAUACAAUCUUUUCAAUAAAUAUCGAUUUUAAAAUUUUUGAAUUAGCUCAAAACAAUUUGUUUAAAGAUUUCCUUAUCUCAAGAUAUCGGAGUAUCACAUCCUGUAUGUUAGAACACAAUACCAUGAAUUCCCGAGCACAAGGUCGUCUUUUAAUUUAAAUGAGAGUUUCGUGUAUUUUAAAACUCGAAAAGGAUAUUUAGCUAUUUAGAAAUAACGAGAAAAUCGAAACCCAGUAAGUUAAGGCACAAUUCCUCGAUAUCUCAAAAUGCAUAACAUUGCCUUAUUUGGGAAAUUUUAUUUUUGAAUAGUAGCGAAUGUAAUAUUUAAAACAACAAGUGUUAUUUAUUUAGGUUAAAAUAAGGUGAUUUAUUGGAUAAAUACAUUGGGGUUUAAUUCGCGAGGCAAAUAUAUGAGAUACGAUGAUAAAUGAGUAUAAACAAUAAUACAUGGAUGACGUCACGUAAAAAUACAACAAUAAGGUGAAAAUGCAAGUGAACAAUUUAUGAUACAUGCGAUGACAAUAAUGGCUCACAUACAUCAUUCACAUACUAACAUUAACGAUUAAUGAACAAAAACAUAUAUUGCAAUCUAAAAAAUAUAAAUAGUAUAAAGCAAGUCAAAUUGAAUAAAGUAUAAAAACUAUAUAUAUUAAAAAAAACUAAUAGACCAGUUUAAAAAUAAAUAAAAUAAAAGAUGAAAUUCUUUUAAAAUCAAUAAUGUAUAAAGCGAUUUAAGAAAAAAUAAUACAUAUAAUUUUUUAGAACCAAUAAUAUAUGUACAUAAAAGCAUACUACGGGUAAUAUAAGAAAGUCCUAUAAUAAAUAAUAAAUAGAAUGUUUUAGAAUAAACAAAUGGAAAUUUGAAAGGUAUAUGAAAACAAUUUAAACUAAUGAAAUAAAUUUUAAAUAAAUAAUGCAAAAGAUGAUUUUUUUUUUUAAAAAGGUACUCUUAAAGUAUAAAUAUGGUGGUUUAUAAAUUGCUAUGAAUAAUGUUUUCGGCAUAAGAUAAAAUAAUAUAAAAUAUACAAUAAAAAAAUACAAUUUAACACAUCAUUUAAUAUUUAAAACAAACAUGCAAACUAAAAGGCAAGCAGUUUACAAAAGGGAACAUAAAAUAAAUAAUUAAUAUAUAUAUAUAUACAUUCAACAUUAUUGACAUAUAACACUUGGAAUAAACAAACAAAUAAAAUAAAUUUAAGAUAAAUAAAUAAAUGAACAAUGUGACAAAUCUUAUAAGUAACACAUGAAAUUUUAAACUAAAUAAAUAUAACAUCUGAAUAGUCAGCAAAUAAAAUGUAUAAUAACAUGAUAAAACAAUUUGGAAUAAAAGGGUGAGGACUAAAUUAAAAUAAAAAUGAAAUAAAAAACGGGUAUAAAUUAUAAAAUAGAAAACUGCCAGGGACUAUAUUGAUAUACGCGCGAUGAAACAGGGGUCAACUGGGAAAUUACCCCAACCCUUAAUGCGCUGUGUUUCAAUGUUGAGUCCAGGGAUCAAAUUAGAGAUGGAAUAAAAAUAAUCGGGCUAAAUUUAAAAGAAAAAAUAACAAAUCUGGACUAAAUCAAAUAUCAGAAAAAGGAGAAGGGACCAAGGCGGGAAAUUUCCCAUUUAAAGAAAAAAGGCGGAUCCCCCCGGAUACGGGUCGAGUCGCGAACGGGCACACUUAAAACGAUGCCGUUUGGGCACUUAGGUCACCCUUCAAAACGCUGCCGUUUCAUGCAGCAGAUUUAAGCCCAGAUUUUUUUAAAAAAUUUCAUUUUUACAGUCCAUUUUGCAGAAAAUUCCAAAAUCUCUUCUUUUUUUUUUUAGGGUUUUAAAACCCCCCAUUUUCGCCUCUUCCAUGGCCAACCAUGGAUUCCCCGGCGAUCCUCCAUGCCCAUGCCACGAAUCGGUGACCGGUACUACACGAGGUGGGCUCCCUUUGGUCCUCCUCCGAACGGAGGUCGAAGACGGAGCCUUCGCGGCCCACCACGACGGAAGAGACGAGGAAAGGCCCCGGGAGGUUCGUCGGAGCACCUCAAGCAGUGAAUCGGAGGUACCUUUUUUAUUAUUCGUAUUUUUUAUUACUGUUUUGUGUGUAAAAAAAUAAAAAAGAAAUAAAGAAGAAAGCAAAUCUCAGUGGAAAAGAAUGAAAAUCGAAACUCAACAAUAAUCACCUUUUGAAAUCGUUUAUUCUUUUGAUUAAUUUUGUUUGGUAAAUGUCUGUAACCGUUUACAAAGCAUAGAUUUCGGCUUUUAAAGCCAAUCUAUCAACCGUUCACUUCCUUUUUUUUGUUCUUUUGUUCAUUAUUUUCUUUUGCAUGCUCUCUGUUGUUGCAUCUGAUUUGAUUGCAGGUGUCAGAGGCCGACGGUUGGCUGGUGAGAAGGCGAGGCAGCGCGUGUGGAGGAGGCCGAACGGCGCCUAGGGUUUCCCUCUUCUCCUUUGGCUGAAAAAUGUUUAGGAUAGUUGGGCUAGUUGGGCUUCAGGGUUUUCUUUUAAUUGGGUAUUGGGUAAUUUGUUAUUUGGGCUAGGUGUAAUGGACUCUUGGACUUUUAUUUGUUUAUUGUAUUUUGGGUCUUAUUUUGGUUUGUUGGCAUGGGCCAAAAUUGGCUAUAACAACUUUUAUGUUCUGUUGCAACAAAUUUAAGUGCAAUUUCUACAAGCAAACAAGCCAGGUUGAAUUAUAGUUUGUUUACAACAAAACACUUAGUAAAUAUUUCGACAAUCAUAAUUAACCAAA
Molecule: long non-coding RNA, 43546 nt
Filed under: Gossypium barbadense (sea-island cotton)
Lineage: Eukaryota; Viridiplantae; Streptophyta; Magnoliopsida; Malvales; Malvaceae
Description: long non-coding RNA (GBAR_LNC008660)
Source: RNAcentral